Molecule: ribosomal RNA, 253 nt
Filed under: uncultured bacterium
Lineage: Bacteria
Description: partial 16S ribosomal RNA
Rfam family: Bacterial small subunit ribosomal RNA
Source: RNAcentral
UACGUAGGGUGCGAGCGUUAAUCGGAAUUACUGGGCGGAAAGCGUGCGCAGGCGGUGAUGUAAGACAGAUGUGAAAUCCCCGGGCUCAACCUGGGAACUGCAUUUGUGACUGCAUCGCUGGAGUGCGGCAGAGGGGGAUGGAAUUCCGCGUGUAGCAGUGAAAUGCGUAGAUAUGCGGAGGAACACCGAUGGCGAAGGCAAUCCCCUGGGCCUGCACUGACGCUCAUGCACGAAAGCGUGGGGAGCAAACAGG